This is a non-coding RNA of Epithele typhae, 81 nucleotides long. The record is from the annotation of a RefSeq genome assembly. Lineage: Eukaryota; Fungi; Basidiomycota; Agaricomycetes; Polyporales; Epitheliaceae.
UCUUUGGUCGUAUAUCGGUUAGUACACGCGCUUGUCAUUUCUGGUGCGCGCGAAAGCGGGGUUCGAUUCCCCGCCAGAGAG